Molecule: long non-coding RNA, 1425 nt
Filed under: Homo sapiens (human)
Lineage: Eukaryota; Metazoa; Chordata; Mammalia; Primates; Hominidae
Description: HSALNT0328913
Source: RNAcentral
CUUUCUGGCCCAGCGAGAGCGCCCAGGGGGUGGGCGUCUUGCCCCGGGCGUCGAGAGUUUGGGGCCGUCCCGUACGCGGCGCGCCGCAACCCAGUCCCCGCGACCACAGCAGCCUGCUCCCCACCGCGCUUGCAGAGCCCGGACGCGCGUGAGUCGGGGGCCCGCAGAGGCCUCACCCUUGGAGGUCGCCGCUUGUCAGGCCUGACUGCUGUUGGCGCCCACCCCGCCGCCCCCGAGGGGCCGCUCGAGGCCGGACUGCUGCUUUGCCGUGGCAGGCCCCACCCGGGACGUGGCGCUGCGGGCCGGGGCGGUCCAGCUGUGAGUCAGGGGUUAAUGUGGCGGGAUAACUCUCUGCAGAGGGAAGGAGCUCGCAAAGAAGGGUGGAGGAGGGGAAACCGCAAUGGGGAACUGUCACCGAGGCUAGUGGACUCUCCCUGCGCUUUUUUUUUUUUUUUUUUUUUUGGCAUGUACCCCAAAAGCCAGAGGUCGAGGCCCAGAAAAAUCUGGAAAGGAAUUCCACCGUGUUUGCUCCUUACAGACCAGACAAACCGUAGAUCUUUCAGAGGUACAGCGACUCUCCUGGUUCCCUAAGAUAGUCUCGACUUUUCCUUUCCCUUUGCGGCCCUCUCACUUGACUACUGCAGCCAACCAUACCCCUGAUUAGGGGGUGCAGCACAUCAGCCUCUGCCCCCAAAAACUACCCUGCGAAAGAUCCUUUUUCUCAGGUUCGUUCUCCACAACCGAACAGAUUGGAACUCCACUGAAUAAGAGAGAACAAAAAAGCAAUUAGUUAAAUGAAGCGUAAAGAAGCCUUAUAAAGCCCCAUUGCUGCCUCAGGCACCCAAUCUAGUCAUAACCUAAGAGGUCCAGUUCAGAAAUCUCCCCUCCCCUUUUAAUUCUCAGGCAAUCCCUACUCCCUGCCAAAGGAGAACCCAGUUACUGAACAUCGGAUGAGACCAUGGAUAGUAAAUUGGGAGUGAAGGUCCAUACCUGGGUCUCAGAAGCACAGUACAGGUUUUUAGAACAAGCCACCUUAUACAAGUUAAAAUUCAUGAAGGAAUGGAUACAGGUUAAGUUACACCAGCCUCCUGAGUAUGACAGCAACAUUCCUUCAGGGAUUAAAGAAAAUGCUUCAGAAGAUUGGAACACUGCUCAGCCUUCCCAACCUUCUUUUACCACUGAUGUUUCUACCUUAGUGAUCUUCCUCCUUAUUUUAAUGCUUCUUUCUCUUUACAAUUAAAAGUUCAUAAAAUCUUUCAACAUUAUUUUUCACUACAAAAGUCUGAAGUUCUCUGUGAAAUGCCUACAUGUAAGAAUUAAGAUAGAUUUUAAAGACUGUCAGUCUCAAAAUUCCAUGCUCAUCAGUUAGUGCAUGAUAUUAAAUUAUGCUUUUUUCCUCCUUUUAAAUAUACCAACAUUAUAUUG